Molecule: ribosomal RNA, 114 nt
Filed under: Amphilophus citrinellus (Midas cichlid)
Lineage: Eukaryota; Metazoa; Chordata; Actinopteri; Cichliformes; Cichlidae
Source: RNAcentral
GUCAAAACAGUUCACAGUUUGAGCACACCUGAUCUCCUCUGAGCUUGGAAGCUAAGUUGGAUUAGUACUGGAUGGGAGACCAAUGGGGGAUAACAGGUGGCAUUUGGCUUGACU